This 497-nucleotide ribosomal RNA is filed under the name uncultured bacterium. Its description in RNAcentral is "partial 16S ribosomal RNA". It matches the Rfam family "Bacterial small subunit ribosomal RNA", at positions 28 to 507 of the family's 1533-position model. The record is from RNAcentral.
GAUGAACGCUGGCGGCGUGCCUAAUACAUGCAAGUCGAGCGAACAGACGAGGAGCUUGCUCCUCUGACGUUAGCGGCGGACGGGUGAGUAACACGUGGAUAACCUACCUAUAAGACUGGGAUAACUUCGGGAAACCGGAGCUAAUACCGGAUAAUAUAUUGAACCGCAUGGUUCAAUAGUGAAAGACGGUUUUGCUGUCACUUAUAGAUGGAUCCGCGCCGCAUUAGCUAGUUGGUAAGGUAACGGCUUACCAAGGCAACGAUGCGUAGCCGACCUGAGAGGGUGAUCGGCCACACUGGAACUUAGACACGGUCCAGACUCCUACGGGAGGCAGCAGUAGGGAAUCUUCCGCAAUGGGCGAAAGCCUGACGGGGCAACGCCGCGUGAGUGAUGAAGGUCUUCGGAUCGUAAAACUCUGUUAUUAGGGAAGAACAAAUGUGUAAGUAACUAUGCACGUCUUGACGGUACCUAAUCAGAAAGCCACGGCUAACUACGUG